CUGCAGUUGUUAGAGCAGCUCUCUGUAGACUCUUCAGAUGUUUUUUGGAGCAGGGAAACAACGCUUUUCCCCAUACGUGGAAUGACUGUCUGCUCUGCUCUUUGUAAAAAUUGUGUUGAUAACAGCUUUUUGGAUGGCCAGGGGUCUUUAUCUCGGUUCCGUAGAGAAGCAAGAUCGUUUUCAUAGGGUGGGCAACUUGUCCGUGUCCAUGCCGUUUUGUUUGACAAAGGGACGACGUCACUCACCAAUAAUGUUUUCCCAGUUCCAUGUCUAUGCUAUACAUCUGCACCAAUGCUGGAUGCGAGGAAGUAUUCUCUUAAGAUGACAUUAACGCACAAGAAAUUCAAGGACACAAUGUUGAGAGGUUUUGAAGCAAGUGAUCACGGCACAACAGAUAAUAUGGAACUUCGAGUGCAUAUUAGAAUUCGGACCCUAUGGAGUCCGAUUCUAACAGACCAAAGACUUAUUGGAUGAUUUAUAAAGUCGGAAAUGUU
This is an RNA transcript of Argiope bruennichi, 494 nucleotides long. RefSeq lists it as uncharacterized. The record is from RefSeq and is a predicted model, not a curated record. The transcript has 3 exons. Lineage: Eukaryota; Metazoa; Arthropoda; Arachnida; Araneae; Araneidae.